AUUUAUAUAGCUUAUAUUAGAGUUUAAUAUUGAAGAUAUUAAGGAAGUAUUAAUAUACUUAUAAAUA
This 67-nucleotide transfer RNA is filed under the name Holotrichia parallela (large black chafer). RNAcentral's name for it is "tRNA-Phe". Lineage: Eukaryota; Metazoa; Arthropoda; Insecta; Coleoptera; Scarabaeidae. The record is from RNAcentral.